Molecule: non-coding RNA, 787 nt
Organism: Ictalurus punctatus (channel catfish)
Lineage: Eukaryota; Metazoa; Chordata; Actinopteri; Siluriformes; Ictaluridae
Source: the annotation of a RefSeq genome assembly
UACCACAUUCCUCCAAACUUACUGUAAAUCUCACACUACUACAGAGUUACUGUGUGAAUUUAGCUUCUGGGGUCAGACGGAGAUUUUCUGGAAAACACUUUUAGGUCUAAGAUGCAUAAAUAAGUGAAUUAGAGAGAGAAGCUUAAACUUUCACUGGAUGGUGUUUGUACUAAAUGUUAAUGAGUUUCUCACUGUAGUGGAUUUAUGGUGGAAGAAGCAGCAUCAAUGUUGGCAGCCUCACCCAGCCCAGUGUGAUGGUGUUGCCCCCCUCCAGUGUAGAGCUGCAGCAGGAGAAGGUCACACUCGUGUGUGUGGCCUACAAGGGCUUCCCCUCGGACUGGAGGCUGAGCUGGAAGAUUGAUGGGAGCAGCUGGAGCUCGGGGGAGAGCCGCAGCACCGCAGUUCUGCAGGCGGACGGCCUCUACAGCUGGAGCAGCACGCUGAGCCUCCACCCGGAGCAGUGGAGGAACAAGGUGGUGACCUGUGAGGCCUCCAAGGACAACCAACCACCUGUGGUGAGCACAGUGAACACAGAGCAGUGCUGAGAGCUGUGAGCUCACACACGUUACUCAGCUCACCUUCUACUGCUUCACUGUGUGUUCCAUGUGGCCUUUUUACUGCUCAAAUGUCCCACUUUCAUCAUUUCAUCUGAGUUAUUGACAUGUGAGCUCACACACUCCUCACUUUAACUCAGCUCUUCUUCUCAUCACCUAAAUAUGUGUUAAGUGUGUGUAUCACUGCAAUGUCCUGCUUUGAAUUAUUAAUAAAAGCCUUUUGAAUCAGUAAA